Molecule: ribosomal RNA, 406 nt
Filed under: uncultured bacterium
Lineage: Bacteria
Description: partial 16S ribosomal RNA
Rfam family: Bacterial small subunit ribosomal RNA
Source: RNAcentral
AUUGAACGCUGGCGGCAGGCUUAACCCAUGCAAGUCGAGCGAGCGGCGGACGGGUGAGUAAUGUCUGGGAAACUGCCUGAUGGAUGGGGAUAACUACUGGCAACGGUAGCUAAUACCGCAUACCAUCAGAUGUGCCCAGAUGGGAUUAGCUAGUAGGUGGGGUAAUGGCUCACCUAGGCGACGAUCCCUAGCUGGUCUGAGAGGAUGACCAGCCACACGGGAAAUGAGAAACGGUCAAGACUCCUACGGGAGGCAGCAGUGGGGAAUAUUGCACAAUGGGCGCAAGCCUGAUGCAGCCAUGCCGCGUGUAUGAAGAAGGCCGGAGGGUUGUAAAGUACUUUCAGCGGGGAGGCGUUACCCGCAGAAGAAGCACCGGCUAACGCCGUGCCAGCAGCCGCGGUAAUAC